AUGGCAGACACUGAACAAGGAAAACCGGCGCCCAGCAGCAGUUGCCAAAGGGAUGUGCCAGCGUCCCAACAAAGAGCUUGGAACUUCCAGCAGGCAGAGAUGGCAACACUGAAGGAUAACAGCCGUGUGCCUCUUCCUGGGACGCUGCUCUGUGUGCCUCUUCCAGGGACACUGCUCCGUGUGCCCCUUCCCGGGAAGCUGCUCCUUGUGUAUAUUCCUGAUUAUGUAUUCAUGCCCGACCCUAACUCUAGCAGCAGCACUAACGGGUUCGAUGGUCUGUGUGGAGCUGAUGAUGCAAACACGAACAUCCAUCAAAAGCUUGUUGCUGUCAGCAACAAGAAUUUUGGGCAGCUGGAGCCAUGCUCCAUGGACGAGGAGGAUGACCGGGACCCCAAGCCCAAGCCAACGAGCACGACGAGGUAA
Molecule: ribosomal RNA, 423 nt
Filed under: Triticum aestivum (bread wheat)
Lineage: Eukaryota; Viridiplantae; Streptophyta; Magnoliopsida; Poales; Poaceae
Description: partial small subunit ribosomal RNA
Source: RNAcentral